UACGUAGGUCGCAAGCGUUGUCCGGAUUUACUGGGCGUAAAGAGCGCGCAGGCGGCUGGUCAAGUCCGAUGUGACAUCUCCCGGCUUAACUGGGAAACUGCAUUGGAAACUGAUCGGCUUGAAGGUGGGAGAGGGUAGUGGAAUUCCCGGUGUAGUGGUGAAAUGCGUAGAGAUCGGGAGGAACACCAGUGGCGAAGGCGACUACCGGGCCCAUUCGUGACGCUGAGGCGCGAAAGCUAGGGGAGCGAACGGA
This 253-nucleotide ribosomal RNA is filed under the name uncultured bacterium. RNAcentral's name for it is "partial 16S ribosomal RNA". It matches the Rfam family "Bacterial small subunit ribosomal RNA", at positions 524 to 776 of the family's 1533-position model. The record is from RNAcentral.